UUCAUCUUCUCCUCGCAGAUAAACAUAUUCCCCAAAAAACAGUCCUACCUAUAGACAUGAAAAGCCACUAACCCAUUUGGAAGUGUACCUUAAUAGUUUUACAUUCAGUGGAGGUGGCAGAAGGUGGCAUGUUGAUCUUUGUCUAACAAGCUCACCUCCUCCCUGCAAUGACAUGGCCUAGGUUCAGAGAAGUGAAGAAACUGGGUGUGCAAAGUUAAAAGAUCCACAAAAGGCAUGACCUCUGAACAGGUGAACAUACCAAGAAAGACCUUAGUGGGCGGAGGUCAGGAAGAAGGGGUGUAAUUCUUGCAUGGAGGGUCAGAACAGAAGUAAAGCUUUCUGCAGUCUACUCUCCUUUUGUAGUCAGAUAAAUUCAGGCUAGAUUCCUAAUUUUCCACUUAUUAGUUGAGUGACUUUGGGCAAAUUAACUCACCUCCCUAACCUUCAGUUUUAUCUGUAAACCUUAUGAUAGCAGUUUGCUCCCGUGAGGCUACAUAAGGCACCUAAUACACUUAGCAGAGCGCUUAGUACCUGGCAAACGCUCACUAAUUGUAAGAUAUGAUUGCUGUUAAUAGCGUUCGCUGCUAGUGGCUGGCUCAUAAGCGUUUUUUAAAAAUCACCACUUCAAUCCCCUUAGAACGUGCUUCCUUAGGUUAACGGCCCUUAUUCUUCUGUGUCCCACGUCUCAACAGAGCCCCUUCCUCCUCCACCCAGGGGAGGCCCAACUGCACCAGGCCAUUCCACUGCUUCAGGACGCAACUGUGCAGAGCAUCAAGACAAAAAUCUCAGUCUUCGAGGAACUCACAGUGUAGCAGAAAAGACAAAGGAGGUAAACAGGAGGAGCAUGAAUAAUUCAUCUUGAUGUAAUCAUGCAAGACUCCUAAGAAGAUGUUAGGAGACCCUGUCAUCAUUCUUUUGGCCUCUAGUGUCCUUUAUCUUCAUGUUUGCUGGCUUCCUUUUACUACUAUGGAAAUACAACAUAUGCAAAAGUAGUGUUUUCACUGUUUAAAAACAUCGUCAGCAGCAUCAUCAUCAUUAACUGCACCAGGAAGCCAUGACUCCUUUCUGGACAAGGUGCACUUGCCUGUCAUCCUUCCAUCUCUUUCUUCCUCCUUGAAGUUCACAAUACCCAGUCCAGGAGCAUUGCAGAGAAUGCUAGGUGUGUCUGCAGACUUGACUUUAAAAGAAAACAAGUUCCUUCAAGUGAGUUCAUCAUGAUGGGAAUGAUAAUUUGUUUGAGAGAAUGUGUGUUCUUUGGCAAAGGAACUCCUGUUAUACCAUGACAGUAAUAAUAGCAGUAAUAAAAUCACCAAUAAUAAAUUUACUUUUGAAUUUA
RNAcentral lists this long non-coding RNA (1336 nucleotides) under Homo sapiens (human). Its description in RNAcentral is "HSALNT0314691". The record is from RNAcentral. Lineage: Eukaryota; Metazoa; Chordata; Mammalia; Primates; Hominidae.